RNAcentral lists this ribosomal RNA (408 nucleotides) under uncultured bacterium. RNAcentral's name for it is "partial 16S ribosomal RNA". It matches the Rfam family "Bacterial small subunit ribosomal RNA", at positions 28 to 526 of the family's 1533-position model. The record is from RNAcentral.
GACGAACGCUGGCGGCGUGCUUAACACAUGCAAGUCGAACGUAGUGGCGAACGGGUGAGUAACGCGUAAUCAACCUGCCCUUCAGAGGGGGACAACAGUUGGAAACGACUGCUAAUACCGCAUACUGAAGGAGGGGAUUGCGUCUGAUUAGCUAGUUGGAGGGGUAACGGCCCACCAAGGCGAUGAUCAGUAGCCGGUCUGAGAGGAUGAACGGCAACAUUGGGACUGAGACACGGCCCAGACUCCUACGGGAGGCAGCAGUGGGGAAUCGUCCGCAAUGGACGAAAGUCUGACGGAGCAACGCUGCGUGAGUGAUGACGGCCUUCGGGUUGUAAAGCUCUGUUAAUCGGGACGCGGUACCGGAAUAGAAAGCCACGGCUAACUCCGUGCCAGCCGCCGCGGUAAUAC